Molecule: ribosomal RNA, 305 nt
Filed under: uncultured bacterium
Lineage: Bacteria
Description: bacterial SSU rRNA
Rfam family: Bacterial small subunit ribosomal RNA
Source: RNAcentral
UCAUACCUACGGGAGGCAGCAGUGAGGAAUAUUGGUCAAUGGCCGGAAGGCUGAACCAGCCAAGUCGCGUGAGGGAAUAAGGCCCUAUGGGUCGUAAACCUCUUUUGUCAGGGAGCAAAGGCGUCCACGUGUGGACGAGAGGAGAGUACCUGAGGAAAAAGCAUCGGCUAACUCCGUGCCAGCAGCCGCGGUAAUACGGAGGAUGCGAGCGUUAUCCGGAUUUAUUGGGUUUAAAGGGUGCGUAGGCGGGGUGUCAGGUCAGCGGUAAAAUUUCGGGGCUCAACCCCGUCGUGCCGUGGAAACUG